UAGCGCCACAGAGGGCGAAAGAGCCGUC
This 28-nucleotide small RNA is filed under the name Bombyx mori (domestic silkworm). RNAcentral describes it as "ovarian small RNA-22434". Lineage: Eukaryota; Metazoa; Arthropoda; Insecta; Lepidoptera; Bombycidae. The record is from RNAcentral.